GUCGAACGGUAACAGGAAGCAGCUUGCUGCUUUGCUGACGAGUGGCGGACGGGUGAGUAAUGUCUGGGAAACUGCCUGAUGGAGGGGGAUAACUACUGGAAACGGUGGCUAAUACCGCAUAACGUCGCAAGACCAAAGAGGGGGACCUUCGGGCCUCUUGCCAUCAGAUGUGCCCAGAUGGGAUUAGCUUGUUGGUGAGGUAACGGCUCACCAAGGCGACGAUCCCUAGCUGGUCUGAGAGGAUGACCAGCCACACUGGAACUGAGACACGGUCCAGACUCCUACGGGAGGCAGCAGUGGGGAAUAUUGCACAAUGGGCGCAAGCCUGAUGCAGCCAUGCCGCGUGUAUGAAGAAGGCCUUCGGGUUGUAAAGUACUUUCAGCGGGGAGGAAGGUGUUGUGGUUAAUAACCGCAGCAAUUGACGUUACCCGCAGAAGAAGCACCGGCUAACUCCGUGCCAGCAGCCGCGGUAAUACGGAGGGUGCAAGCGUUAAUCGGAAUUACUGGGCGUAAAGCGCACGCAGGCGGUCUGUCAAGUCGGAUGUGAAAUCCCCGGGCUCAACCUGGGAACUGCAUUCGAAACUGGCAGGCUUGAGUCUUGUAGAGGGGGGUAGAAUUCCAGGUGUAGCGGUGAAAUGCGUAGAGAUCUGGAGGAAUACCGGUGGCGAAGGCGGCCCCCUGGACAAAGACUGACGCUCAGGUGCGAAAGCGUGGGGAGCAAACAGGAUUAGAUACCCUGGUAGUCCACGCCGUAAACGAUGUCUACUUGGAGGUUGUGCCCUUGAGGCGUGGCUUCCGGAGCUAACGCGUUAAGUAGACCGCCUGGGGAGUACGGCCGCAAGGUUAAAACUCAAAUGAAUUGACGGGGGCCCGCACAAGCGGUGGAGCAUGUGGUUUAAUUCGAUGCAACGCGAAGAACCUUACCUGGUCUUGACAUCCACGGAAGAAUUCAGAGAUGGAUUUGUGCCUUCGGGAACCGUGAGACAGGUGCUGCAUGGCUGUCGUCAGCUCGUGUUGUGAAAUGUUGGGUUAAGUCCCGCAACGAGCGCAACCCUUAUCCUUUGUUGCCAGCGGUCCGGCCGGGAACUCAAAGGAGACUGCCAGUGAUAAACUGGAGGAAGGUGGGGAUGACGUCAAGUCAUCAUGGCCCUUACGACCAGGGCUACACACGUGCUACAAUGGCGCAUACAAAGAGAAGCGACCUCGCGAGAGCAAGCGGACCUCAUAAAGUGCGUCGUAGUCCGGAUUGGAGUCUGCAACUCGACUCCAUGAAGUCGGAAUCGCUAGUAAUCGUGGAUCAGAAUGCCACGGUGAAUACGUUCCCGGGCCUUGUACACACCGCCCGUCACACCAUGGGAGUGGGUUGCAAAAGAAGUAGGUAGCUUAACCUUCGGGAGGGCGCUUACCACUUUGUGAUUCAUGACUGGGGUGAAGUCGUAACAAGGUAACCGUAGGGGAACCUGCGGUUGGAUCACCUCCUUACCUGAAAGAAGC
Molecule: ribosomal RNA, 1494 nt
Filed under: Salmonella enterica
Lineage: Bacteria; Pseudomonadati; Pseudomonadota; Gammaproteobacteria; Enterobacterales; Enterobacteriaceae
Description: bacterial SSU rRNA
Rfam family: Bacterial small subunit ribosomal RNA
Source: RNAcentral